RNAcentral lists this ribosomal RNA (504 nucleotides) under uncultured bacterium. Its description in RNAcentral is "partial 16S ribosomal RNA". It matches the Rfam family "Bacterial small subunit ribosomal RNA", at positions 30 to 523 of the family's 1533-position model. The record is from RNAcentral.
AUUGAACGCUGGCGGCAGGCCUAACACAUGCAAGUCGAACGGUAGCACAGAGAGCUUGCUCUCGGGUGACGAGUGGCGGACGGGUGAGUAACGUCUGGGAAACUGCCCGAUGGAGGGGGAUAACUACUGGAAACGGUAGCUAAUACCGCAUAACGUCGCAAGACCAAAGUGGGGGACCUUCGGGCCUCACACCAUCGGAUGUGCCCAGAUGGGAUUAGCUAGUAGGUGGGGUAAUGGCUCACCUAGGCGACGAUCCCUAGCUGGUCUGAGAGGAGGACCAGCCACACUGGAACUGAGACACGGUCCAGACUCCUACGGGAGGUAGCAGUGGGGAAUAUUGCACAAUGGGCGCAAGCCUGAUGCAGCCAUGCCGCGUGUAUGAAGAAGGCCUUCGGGUUGUAAAGUACUUUCAGCGGGGAGGAAGGCGGUGAAGUUAAUAACUUCACCGAUUGACGUUACCCGCAGAAGAAGCACCGGCUAACUCCGUGCCAGCCGCCGCCGUAA